This 460-nucleotide ribosomal RNA is filed under the name uncultured bacterium. RNAcentral describes it as "partial 16S ribosomal RNA". It matches the Rfam family "Bacterial small subunit ribosomal RNA", at positions 338 to 795 of the family's 1533-position model. The record is from RNAcentral.
CCUACGGGUGGCAGCAGUGAGGAAUAUUGGUCAAUGGGCGUAAGCCUGAACCAGCCAAGUCGCGUGAGGGAUGAAGGUUCUAUGGAUCGUAAACCUCUUUUAUAAGGGAAUAAAGUGCGGGACGUGUCCCGUUUUGUAUGUACCUUAUGAAUAAGGAUCGGCUAACUCCGUGCCAGCAGCCGCGGUAAUACGGAGGAUCCGAGCGUUAUCCGGAUUUAUUGGGUUUAAAGGGUGCGUAGGCGGCCUUUUAAGUCAGCGGUGAACGUCUGUGGCUCAACCAUAGAAUUGACGUUGAAACUGGGAGGCUUGAGGAUGUUUGAGGUAGGCGGAAUGCGUGGUGUAGCGGUGAAAUGCAUAGAUAUCACGCAGAACUCCGAUUGCGAAGGCAGCUUACUAAACUAUAACUGACACUGAAGCACGAAAGCGUGGGGAUCAAACAGGAUUAGAUACCCCUGUAGUC